GAUGACAUGGUUAAGGUUAUUGCUUGGUAUGACAAUGAAUGGGGUUACUCACAGAGGGUUGUUGAUCUUGCUGACAUUGUUGCAAACCAGUGGAAAUGAAACAUGAAAAUAAAAUAAAGCAGUACUACUAAAUAGUGGCUUAAUUUAUAUUUUUUUAACCUUGCUUGUAGAUUCUUAUUCCUUUUUGAAAAUUGUAAUGAGAACUAUAACAAUUUUCCACCUUGUGAAAUCUCAAUUCAAUAAAAG
This 246-nucleotide unclassified non-coding RNA is filed under the name Hevea brasiliensis (rubber tree). The record is from RNAcentral. Lineage: Eukaryota; Viridiplantae; Streptophyta; Magnoliopsida; Malpighiales; Euphorbiaceae.